RNAcentral lists this ribosomal RNA (696 nucleotides) under Asterionellopsis glacialis. RNAcentral's name for it is "partial Eukaryotic large subunit ribosomal RNA". It matches the Rfam family "Eukaryotic large subunit ribosomal RNA", at positions 10 to 691 of the family's 3401-position model. The record is from RNAcentral. Lineage: Eukaryota; Bacillariophyta; Plagiogrammaphyceae; Rhaphoneidales; Asterionellopsidaceae.
AUCAGGUAGGAAUACCCGCUGAACUUAAGCAUAUCAAUAAGCGGAGGAAAAGAAACUAACAAGGAUUCCCCUAGUAACUGCGAGUGAAGAGGGAAAAGCUCAAAUUUAAAAUCUGGUAGCUUUGCUGCCCGAGUUGUAAUUUAGAGAAGUGAUGCCCGCGCUGGACCGUGUAUAAGUCUCCUGGAAUGGUGCGUCAUAGAGGGUGAGAAUCCCGUCUUUGACACGGACUCCCAGUGCAUUGUGGUACGCUCUCAAAGAGUCGUGUUGUUUGGGAAUGCAGCACUAAAUGGGUGGUAAAUUCCAUCUAAAGCUAAAUAUUGGUGGGAGACCGAUAGCGUACAAGUACCGUGAGGGAAAGAUGAAAAGAACUUUGGAAAGAGAGUGAAACAGUACGUGAAAUUGUUGAAAGGGAAACGCUUGAAGUCAGUCGCAUUGUCUGGGAAUCAGUCUUGCUUUUGCUUGAUGUACUUUCCAGUUAAUGGGUCAGCAUCAGUUUUGAUCGUUGGAUAAAGGCUGAAGGAAUGUGGCAUCUCCGGAUGUGUUAUAGCCUUCAGUUGCAUACAACGGUUGGGACUGAGGAAUUCAGCACGCCGCAAGGCCGGGUCUCGUACCACGUUCGUGCUUAGGAUGCUGGCAUAAUGGCUUUAAUCGACCCGUCUUGUAACACGGACCAAGGAGUCGUCUUCGUAUGCGAGU